UGCAAGCAAAGGGAUGGGGAGAAGCUCCAAGAGGCAAGUGAGGAAUUCUGCAGCCACAUUGGUAGCAAUAGGAUGUUGCAGCAAAGUAGAAAUUGUUUCAGAAAAGGACUGAUCAAGUGCAUGGAGGAUGAGGACACCAGAAACAACUGCAUAUGAUGUUUGGACACAACCUACAGCCUAGUGAGUCCCUACAGCGCUGACUGUCAGAGACAGGGAUGACACAUGAUGGAAAAGAUGAUCCUACAAAUGCUUCAGUUCAAGCAGUGUUACUUCAAGAUUUUUCAGUAUGUCUGUUCUUAUGUAUCCAUCUGAUCAAAGAAGUCAUUACAAAUACAGGAGGCUGGAGGGAAAACUAACAGUCCAACAACAGGCAACUGUCAAUUGGUAAGAACAAUUAAAA
Molecule: long non-coding RNA, 400 nt
Filed under: Gallus gallus (chicken)
Lineage: Eukaryota; Metazoa; Chordata; Aves; Galliformes; Phasianidae
Source: RNAcentral